This 472-nucleotide ribosomal RNA is filed under the name uncultured bacterium. Its description in RNAcentral is "SSU rRNA". It matches the Rfam family "Bacterial small subunit ribosomal RNA", at positions 26 to 518 of the family's 1533-position model. The record is from RNAcentral.
AGGACGAACGCUGGCGGCGUGCUUAACACAUGCAAGUCGAGCGGAAAGGCCCUUCGGGGUACUCGAGCGGCGAACGGGUGAGUAACACGUGAGUAACCUGCCCCUAGCUCUGGGAUAGCUCCGGGAAACCGGGAUUAAUACCAGAUACGACCACUUUAGACAUCUGUCGUGGUGGAAAGGAUUCCGGCUAGGGAUGGGCUCGCGGCCUAUCAGCUUGUUGGUGGGGUAACGCCUACCAAGGCGACGACGGUAGCCGGCCUGAGAGGGCGACCGGCCACACUGGGACUGAGACACGGCCCAGACUCCUACGGGAGGCAGCAGUGGGGAAUAUUGCGCAAUGGGCGAAAGCCUGACGCAGCGACGCCGCGUGGGGGAUGAAGGCCUUCGGGUUGUAAACCCCUUUCAGCAGGGACGAAGCGAAAGUGACGGUACCUGCAGAAGAAGCGCCGGCUAACUACGCGCCAGCAGCCGC